CUGAGUACGGCGGAACACGUGAAAUUCCGUCGGAAUCCGGGAGGACCAUCUCCCAAGGCUAAAUACUCCCUAGUGACCGAUAGUGAACCAGUACCGUGAGGGAAAGGUGAAAAGCACCCCGGAAGGGGAGUGAAACAGUUCCUGAAACCGUGUGCCUACAAGUAGUUAGAGCCCGUUAAUGGGUGAUAGCGUGCCUUUUGUAGAAUGAACCGGCGAGUUACGAUUUGUUGCAAGGUUAAGCGGAAAAAGCGGAGCCGUAGCGAAAGCGAGUCUGAAUAGGGCGCAUAAGUAACAGGUCGUAGACCCGAAACCAGGUGAUCUACCCAUGUCCAGGAUGAAGGUAAGGUAAUACUUACUGGAGGUCCGAACCCACGCACGUUGAAAAGUGCGGGGAUGAGGUGUGGGUAGCGGAGAAAUUCCAAUCGAACUUGGAGAUAGCUGGUUCUCUCCGAAAUAGCUUUAGGGCUAGCCUCGAGGUAAAGAGUCAUGGAGGUAGAGCACUGUUUGGACUAGGGGCCCUUCUCGGGUUACCGAAUUCAGAUAAACUCCGAAUGCCAUGUACUUAUACUCGGGAGUCAGACUGCGAGUGAUAAGAUCCGUAGUCGAAAGGGAAACAGCCCAGACCACCAGUUAAGGUCCCCAAAUAUAUGUUAAGUGGAAAAGGAUGUGGGGUUGCUUAGACAACCAGGAUGUUGGCUUAGAAGCAGCCACCAUUGAAAGAGUGCGUAAUAGCUCACUGGUCGAGUGACCCCGCGCCGAAAAUGUACCGGGGCUAAACAUAUUACCGAAACUGUGGAUGAACCUCUUUAGAGGUUCGUGGUAGGAGAGCGUUCUAAGGGCGGUGAAGUCAGACCGGAAGGACUGGUGGAGCGCUUAGAAGUGAGAAUGCCGGUAUGAGUAGCGAAAGAAGGGUGAGAAUCCCUUCCACCGAAUAUCUAAGGUUUCCUGAGGAAGGCUCGUCCGCUCAGGGUUAGUCGGGACCUAAGCCGAGGCCGAUAGGCGUAGGCGAUGGACAACAGGUAGAGAUUCCUGUACCAGUGCUAAUUGUUUAACCGAUGGGGUGACACAGAAGGAUAGGGAAUC
Molecule: ribosomal RNA, 1083 nt
Filed under: Listeria monocytogenes
Lineage: Bacteria; Bacillati; Bacillota; Bacilli; Caryophanales; Listeriaceae
Description: partial 23S ribosomal RNA
Rfam family: Bacterial large subunit ribosomal RNA
Source: RNAcentral